This 304-nucleotide long non-coding RNA is filed under the name Elaeis guineensis (African oil palm). Its description in RNAcentral is "long non-coding RNA (EGUI_LNC060304)". The record is from RNAcentral. Lineage: Eukaryota; Viridiplantae; Streptophyta; Magnoliopsida; Arecales; Arecaceae.
UCAAAUCGUGAAUCCUUUUGAUCUUUCUUUCUUGAUUCUUGAAGAAGCCAAGAAUCUUUCUUGAUCUCUUAACUAAUCAAGAACAACCACAACUAAGAAGUGGUUGUAACUAACUCUCAACAAACUUGAAAGAAAGGGAAGAAACUAUGAACCUUGUGGCGCCAAUCGUUGACACCAACAAAGGAUGUCGCCCACUUCUCUCUAAGAUUCAAAAAGGGGAUGCCUAGAGAGAGAGAGGGAAUGGGCUAGAGAGAGAAAGAGGAGAGGAGGUGUGAGCACAGUAACAGGUGGCAAUAAGGAUGGG